This 717-nucleotide ribosomal RNA is filed under the name fungal sp. RNAcentral describes it as "eukaryotic LSU rRNA". The stretch from base 494 to 717 matches the Rfam family "Eukaryotic large subunit ribosomal RNA", at positions 1 to 228 of the family's 3401-position model. The record is from RNAcentral. Lineage: Eukaryota; Fungi.
UUAAAGAGUUCUAUAACUCCCAAACCCAUGUGAACAUACCUUACGUUGCCUCGGCAGGUCGCGCUAUCCCGUAGCGUCCUACCCUGUAGGACCUACCCGGUAGACGCGGGUAAGCCUGCCGGCGGCCCACAAAACUCUGUUUAAUAUUGAAUUCUGAACCCAUAACUAAAUAAGUUAAAACUUUCAACAACGGAUCUCUUGGUUCUGGCAUCGAUGAAGAACGCAGCGAAAUGCGAUAAGUAAUGUGAAUUGCAGAAUUCAGUGAAUCAUCGAAUCUUUGAACGCACAUUGCGCCCAUUAGUAUUCUAGUGGGCAUGCCUGUUCGAGCGUCAUUUCAACCCUUAAGCCUCUGUUGCUUAGUGUUGGGAGCCUACGGCACCCGUAGCUCCUCAAAGUUAGUGGCGGAGUCGGUUCACACUCUAGACGUAGUAAUUUUUAUCUCGCCUAUCAGUUGGACCGGUCCCCUGCCGUAAAACCCCCCAUUUUUAAAGGUUGACCUCGGAUCAGGUAGGAAUACCCGCUGAACUUAAGCAUAUCAAUAAGCGGAGGAAAAGAAACCAACAGGGAUUGCCCUAGUAACGGCGAGUGAAGCGGCAACAGCUCAAAUUUGAAAUCUGGCCCUCGGGUCCGAGUUGUAAUUUGUAGAGGAUGCUUUUGGCGCGGUGCCUUCCGAGUUCCCUGGAACGGGACGCCUUAGAGGGUGAGAGCCCCGUACGG